RNAcentral lists this ribosomal RNA (811 nucleotides) under Bacillus amyloliquefaciens. RNAcentral's name for it is "bacterial SSU rRNA". It matches the Rfam family "Bacterial small subunit ribosomal RNA", at positions 521 to 1331 of the family's 1533-position model. Lineage: Bacteria; Bacillati; Bacillota; Bacilli; Caryophanales; Bacillaceae. The record is from RNAcentral.
UAAUACGUAGGUGGCAAGCGUUGUCCGGAAUUAUUGGGCGUAAAGGGCUCGCAGGCGGUUUCUUAAGUCUGAUGUGAAAGCCCCCCGGCUCAACCGGGGAGGGUCAUUGGAAACUGGGGAACUUGAGUGCAGAAGAGGAGAGUGGAAUUCCACGUGUAGCGGUGAAAUGCGUAGAGAUGUGGAGGAACACCAGUGGCGAAGGCGACUCUCUGGUCUGUAACUGACGCUGAGGAGCGAAAGCGUGGGGAGCGAACAGGAUUAGAUACCCUGGUAGUCCACGCCGUAAACGAUGAGUGCUAAGUGUUAGGGGGUUUCCGCCCCUUAGUGCUGCAGCUAACGCAUUAAGCACUCCGCCUGGGGAGUACGGUCGCAAGACUGAAACUCAAAGGAAUUGACGGGGGCCCGCACAAGCGGUGGAGCAUGUGGUUUAAUUCGAAGCAACGCGAAGAACCUUACCAGGUCUUGACAUCCUCUGACAAUCCUAGAGAUAGGACGUCCCCUUCGGGGGCAGAGUGACAGGUGGUGCAUGGUUGUCGUCAGCUCGUGUCGUGAGAUGUUGGGUUAAGUCCCGCAACGAGCGCAACCCUUGAUCUUAGUUGCCAGCAUUCAGUUGGGCACUCUAAGGUGACUGCCGGUGACAAACCGGAGGAAGGUGGGGAUGACGUCAAAUCAUCAUGCCCCUUAUGACCUGGGCUACACACGUGCUACAAUGGACAGAACAAAGGGCAGCGAAACCGCGAGGUUAAGCCAAUCCCACAAAUCUGUUCUCAGUUCGGAUCGCAGUCUGCAACUCGACUGCGCGACACGAGUG